This 469-nucleotide ribosomal RNA is filed under the name uncultured bacterium. RNAcentral describes it as "bacterial SSU rRNA". It matches the Rfam family "Bacterial small subunit ribosomal RNA", at positions 267 to 734 of the family's 1533-position model. The record is from RNAcentral.
ACCAAGGCGACGAUGGGUAGGGGUUCUGAGAGGAAGGUCCCCCACAUUGGAACUGAGACACGGUCCAAACUCCUACGGGAGGCAGCAGUGAGGAAUAUUGGUCAAUGGGCGAGAGCCUGAACCAGCCAAGUAGCGUGAAGGACGACGGCCCUACGGGUUGUAAACUUCUUUUAUAAGGGAAUAAAGUUCGCCACGUGUGGUGUUUUGUAUGUACCUUAUGAAUAAGCAUCGGCUAAUUCCGUGCCAGCAGCCGCGGUAAUACGGAAGAUGCGAGCGUUAUCCGGAUUUAUUGGGUUUAAAGGGAGCGUAGGCGGGCUUUUAAGUCAGCGGUCAAAUGCCACGGCUCAACCGUGGCCAGCCGUUGAAACUGCAAGCCUUGAGUCUGCACAGGGCACAUGGAAUUCGUGGUGUAGCGGUGAAAUGCUUAGAUAUCACGAAGAACUCCGAUCGCGAAGGCAUUGUGCCGGGG